CAGUAGGGAAUCUUCGGCAAUGGACGAAAGUGAAUCCGAGCAAUGGGGGCAGACUGAUGAAGGUUUUCGGAUCGUAAAACUGAAGGCCAGGGAAGAAGGAAGAUGAGAGUAAGUGCUAUUCAUUGGCCGGUACCGGAGAAGAAAGCCCGGGCAAAUUAGGUGCCGGCAGCGGGGGUAAUAGGUGGGGGGCAAGGGUUUUCGGAAAUUAUUGGGGGUAAAGCGCGGUCGGGGGAUAUUUUAAUUUGGGGGUUUAUACCCAAGGUUCAACCUGGGGUCGCAUUGGAAACUGGGAGUCUGGAGUGUAGGAGAGGAAAGUGGAAUUCCGAGUGUAGAGGUGAAAUUCGUAGAGAUGUGGAGGAACACCAGUGGCGAAGGCGACUCUCUGGCCCAUAACUGACG
Molecule: ribosomal RNA, 399 nt
Filed under: Paenibacillus contaminans
Lineage: Bacteria; Bacillati; Bacillota; Bacilli; Caryophanales; Paenibacillaceae
Description: bacterial SSU rRNA
Rfam family: Bacterial small subunit ribosomal RNA
Source: RNAcentral